AACGAACGCUGGCGGCAUGCCUAACACAUGCAAGUCGAACGAGACCUUCGGGUCUAGUGGCGCACGGGUGCGUAACGCGUGGGAAUCUGCCCUUGGGUUCGGAAUAACAGCGAGAAAUUGCUGCUAAUACCGGAUGAUGACGUAAGUCCAAAGAUUUAUCGCCCAAGGAUGAGCCCGCGUAGGAUUAGCUAGUUGGUGAGGUAAAGGCUCACCAAGGCGACGAUCCUUAGCUGGUCUGAGAGGAUGAUCAGCCACACUGGGACUGAGACACGGCCCAGACUCCUACGGGAGGCAGCAGUGGGGAAUAUUGGACAAUGGGCGAAAGCCUGAUCCAGCAAUGCCGCGUGAGUGAUGAAGGCCUUAGGUUGUAAAGCUCUUUACCCGGGAUGAUAAUGACAGUACCGGAGAAUAAGCUCCGGCUAACUCCGUGCCAGCAGCCGCGGU
This 444-nucleotide ribosomal RNA is filed under the name uncultured bacterium. Its description in RNAcentral is "bacterial SSU rRNA". It matches the Rfam family "Bacterial small subunit ribosomal RNA", at positions 29 to 521 of the family's 1533-position model. The record is from RNAcentral.